Molecule: ribosomal RNA, 89 nt
Filed under: Nocardioides marmotae
Lineage: Bacteria; Bacillati; Actinomycetota; Actinomycetes; Propionibacteriales; Nocardioidaceae
Also listed under: 1 other name
Source: RNAcentral
CCGGUCCCAUCCCGAACCCGGAAGUUAAGCCUUUCAGCGCCGAUGGUACUGCAACCGCGAGGUUGUGGGAGAGUAGGACGCCGCCGGAC